UGAGGUGACUCAUUUCUGAAUAGUAAGAAAUGCUUGAAAAGAUUCCCCAUUCACAUUUAGGUGAUGGAACAAUCAUUUGCUGGCUGGCAGUUGUAAUUACUCUCUACUGCAGCAGGCUUGUCACCUCCACUCACUAAUGAUUUCAAGAAAUGACUCAAAAGCAACAUGUCCUACAAAAGAUUUCCUCCUGUCCCCUCCUAGAGAGGCAUUCCUUAUGACAAGGAAUUUUGUUUAAGAGGAAGAGAGAAAGUCAGCAAAACUGAUCAACACAUCAAGAAAAAAACUAACAUAUGCCACACUAUACA
This is a non-coding RNA of Phascolarctos cinereus (koala), 305 nucleotides long. The record is from RefSeq and is a predicted model, not a curated record. Lineage: Eukaryota; Metazoa; Chordata; Mammalia; Diprotodontia; Phascolarctidae.